This 429-nucleotide ribosomal RNA is filed under the name uncultured Paenibacillus sp. RNAcentral's name for it is "bacterial SSU rRNA". It matches the Rfam family "Bacterial small subunit ribosomal RNA", at positions 958 to 1392 of the family's 1533-position model. Lineage: Bacteria; Bacillati; Bacillota; Bacilli; Caryophanales; Paenibacillaceae. The record is from RNAcentral.
AACGCGAAGAACCUUACCCAGACUUGACAUCCCUGGCAAAGCUAUAGAAAUAUAGUGGAGGUUAUCCAGGUGACAGGUGGUGCAUGGUUGUCGUCAGCUCGUGUCGUGAGAUGUUUGGUUAAGUCCAACAACGAGCGCAACCCCUAUUGUCAGUUGCCAUCAUUAAGUUGGGCACUCUGGCGAGACUGCCGGUGACAAAUCGGAGGAAGGUGGGGACGACGUCAAAUCAUCAUGCCCCUUAUGCCCAGGGCUACACACGUACUACAAUGGCCGAUAACAAAGUGCAGCGAAACCGUGAGGUGGAGCGAAUCACAAAACUCGGUCUCAGUUCAGAUUGCAGGCUGCAACUCGCCUGCAUGAAGUUGGAAUUGCUAGUAAUCGCGAAUCAGAAUGUCGCGGUGAAUACGUUCCCGGGUCUUGUACACACCG